This 883-nucleotide ribosomal RNA is filed under the name Salmonella enterica subsp. enterica serovar Kentucky. RNAcentral's name for it is "partial 23S ribosomal RNA". It matches the Rfam family "Bacterial large subunit ribosomal RNA", at positions 670 to 1553 of the family's 2925-position model. The record is from RNAcentral. Lineage: Bacteria; Pseudomonadati; Pseudomonadota; Gammaproteobacteria; Enterobacterales; Enterobacteriaceae.
AGGGAAACCGAGUCUUAACUGGGCGUUAAGUUGCAGGGUAUAGACCCGAAACCCGGUGAUCUAGCCAUGGGCAGGUUGAAGGUUGGGUAACACUAACUGGAGGACCGAACCGACUAAUGUUGAAAAAUUAGCGGAUGACUUGUGGCUGGGGGUGAAAGGCCAAUCAAACCGGGAGAUAGCUGGUUCUCCCCGAAAGCUAUUUAGGUAGCGCCUCGUGAACUCAUCUUCGGGGGUAGAGCACUGUUUCGGCUAGGGGGUCAUCCCGACUUACCAACCCGAUGCAAACUGCGAAUACCGAAGAAUGUUAUCACGGGAGACACACGGCGGGUGCUAACGUCCGUCGUGAAGAGGGAAACAACCCAGACCGCCAGCUAAGGUCCCAAAGUCACAGUUAAGUGGGAAACGAUGUGGGAAGGCUCAGACAGCCAGGAUGUUGGCUUAGAAGCAGCCAUCAUUUAAAGAAAGCGUAAUAGCUCACUGGUCGAGUCGGCCUGCGCGGAAGAUGUAACGGGGCUAAACUGUGCACCGAAGCUGCGGCAGCGACGCUUAUGCGUUGUUGGGUAGGGGAGCGUUCUGUAAGCCUGCGAAGGUGUCCUGUGAGGGAUGCUGGAGGUAUCAGAAGUGCGAAUGCUGACAUAAGUAACGAUAAUGCGGGUGAAAAGCCCGCUCGCCGGAAGACCAAGGGUUCCUGUCCAACGUUAAUCGGGGCAGGGUGAGUCGACCCCUAAGGCGAGGCCGAAAGGCGUAGUCGAUGGGAAACGGGUUAAUAUUCCCGUACUUGGUGUUACUGCGAAGGGGGGACGGAGAAGGCUAUGUUGGCCGGGCGACGGUUGUCCCGGUUUAAGCGUGUAGGCUGGUUUUCCAGGCAAAUCCGGAAAAUCAA